GACGAACGCUGGCGGCGUGCCUAAUACAUGCAAGUAGAACGCACAGUUUAUACCGUAGCUUGCUACACCAUAGACUGUGAGUUGCGAACGGGUGAGUAACGCGUAGGUAACCUGCCUGGUAGCGGGGGAUAACUAUUGGAAACGAUAGCUAAUACCGCAUAAUAUUGAUUAUUGCAUGAUAAUUGAUUGAAAGAUGCUAUUGCAUCACUACCAGAUGGACCUGCGUUGUAUUAGCUAGUAGGUGAGGUAACGGCUCACCUAGGCGACGAUACAUAGCCGACCUGAGAGGGUGAUCGGCCACACUGGGACUGAGACACGGCCCAGACUCCUACGGGAGGCAGCAGUAGGGAAGCUUCGGCAAUGGACGAAAGUCUGACCGAGCAACGCCGCGUGAGUGAAGAAGGUUGUCGGAUCGUAAAGCUCUGUUGUAAGAGAAGAACGGGUGUGAGAGUGGAAAGUUCACACUGUGACGGUAUCUUACCAGAAAGGGACGGCUAACUACGUG
RNAcentral lists this ribosomal RNA (505 nucleotides) under uncultured bacterium. Its description in RNAcentral is "partial 16S ribosomal RNA". It matches the Rfam family "Bacterial small subunit ribosomal RNA", at positions 28 to 507 of the family's 1533-position model. The record is from RNAcentral.